UUUAUUUGCCUAAUGAUGGAAAACUCAUUCAUGGAGCGGUUCUGUGGAUUGUUAUUAGGAGCCUUCUCUAUCAUUUUCCUGUACUAGUUGCUGUCACCAUCAACACCACUCUCCCUCUCUCCCUCUCUCUCUCUCUCUCUCUCUCCCUCUCUCUCUCUCUCUCUCUCUCGCCCUCUCUCUCUCUCUCUCGCCCUCUCUCCCUCUCUUGCUUGUAUGGUUGAAGAUGUGAAGAGGUUCAUAGUGAUAAUCCACAGUUAACUGGCAAUGACCAGAUAUAGCUAUGAGAUCUGAAGGCUCUUCGAAUUUUUUCCUUUUUUAUUCUUUAGAUAUGCUUGUUGAAUUUUAAAUUAUUUUUGUUCCUUUAGUUAUUUCAAUAGACAUUUGCUUUUCUGGUCAUUGCAGUAUUGUAGACAUUAUCUUUGGUUUAACUGAAGAGCACUUUGGGCAUUGCAGUAUUGUGAUUACUAUAAAUGCACUGUUACUUUUGUAUUGAUUUCAAAUUUUCUGUUAAUAGAAAACCAAAUAGCACUUUCGGAAUUGCAGUAUUUUUGUAUAUAAGGCGAGCUCCCUUCGGAGUCAAACCGCUUGUAGAUUGUUUCAUAUAAAGCUAAUAAACCAUUGUCCGGAAACUAUUGUUGUAGAUUGUUUUAGUUGAAAGAUGGUUAUAGAUUUUUUAGUAACUUUAUCUUCUGGUUCAAAUAUGAUGCUCAUCGAUGGAAAAUUCAAAACAUAAAUAGCGGUAGGCAUGGUUGAUUCUUCAUUAGCCCGUACUAACCACAAGCACCACCUCUCUCUCUCUCUGUGUUAUGGGAUUGUGGGGAAUGAUGAUACAUGCAAUGGUCUCUGAGCAGUUUAUAAGUGCAAUUGUCGUUGGAAAUGCAGCCUAGAAAGCUAUUUAUGACCCCUGGAGUAAUUAUACUUUGGUGAUGUUUCAUGUUAUUAUUGUCAUCAUUCAAUUAACUAAUUGUGUUGCAAUGGAAAUUACUGGUCAAGAUUUUUUUCAAGGUCAGAUGUUAGUAAAGCGCAAUCCCUUGAAGUAGUGAUUCUGUGCUAAUGGUGAGCUCUAUUGUCUUUAGUCUGUUUCUUUUUCUUGAAUUAUUUUGCUGCCCCUCAAAGGUGGUUCAGUUUUUAUUUGCCUAAUGAUGGAAAACUCAUUUUUGGAGCGGUUCCGUGGAUUGUUAUUAGGAGUCUUUUCUAUCAUUUUUGCUGUACAAGUCGCCGUCGUCAUUACCAACCCAUCCUCUCUCUCUCUCUCUCUCUCACUCUCCUCUUCUUUCUUUUUCUCUCGCUCUCUCUCUCUGUGGCUUGUAUGGUUUAAGAUGUGAACAGGUUCGUUGUCAUAAUCCACGGCUAACUGGCAAUGACCCGAUAUAGCUAUGAGAUCUGAAGGCUCUUAACAGUGUUGUACACUUUAUCUCUGGUUUAACUGGAGCAUUUUGGGCAUUGCAGUACAAAUCUGUGUAAUGUUUGUUGUGUUUUAUGUUUACAAAGCGACGUGCUAAAUUACUCUUUUUUUUAUUCUUGCUUGUACGAUUGAAGAUCUGUUGAGGUUUAUAAUUGAGCUUGUGACCGUGAUGACUAGAUACAUAUUUUCAUGGCUAUUUGAAUUUAUUGCUAUA
Pyrus x bretschneideri (Chinese white pear) is the source of this 1619-nucleotide long non-coding RNA. RefSeq lists it as uncharacterized. The record is from RefSeq and is a predicted model, not a curated record. NCBI's taxonomy places the organism in Eukaryota, Viridiplantae, Streptophyta, Magnoliopsida, Rosales, Rosaceae. The transcript has 2 exons.